This is a long non-coding RNA of Vitis riparia (riverbank grape), 986 nucleotides long. RefSeq lists it as uncharacterized. Lineage: Eukaryota; Viridiplantae; Streptophyta; Magnoliopsida; Vitales; Vitaceae. The transcript is spliced from 2 exons. The record is from RefSeq and is a predicted model, not a curated record.
CAUUUUUGAUAAAUUUGAAGAAACCCUAACCCUAACCCUAGGAGUGCGGUGGCAGUGUCACUACAAAUAGAAGGCGAAUGGAGUUGGAGAGAUGAUAAGCAGCGGGUGGCUGAGCCCCACUACCAAAGCUCACUAACUCUCUUUUGAUGAUGAUUGGUCUCAGGGUUUCCGAAACUUCAACUGAGUCAUAUUUGGUUAGUGUUGUUCUUAGUUGAUGAGAGGAUGAUAAUGCAGCGAUGAUAAGAAAUUCACAAUGUUGUGGAUUGAGGACAACCUAUGAUUCCGUUUCAAGCACUGUUGAGCUGCUCUGUCUCUCACACCCCUGUUCUCGCUUCAUUAUUUUCUUCUCAAUGUUCAGUAAUAUGCUUACAAUAGAAAAACAAUCAAUUUUGGCUGCAGAAGGAAGAGAACCAUGAUUUUUGCCAACAGGGGUUAUAAACAACCAAUAAUUGAAUUUGCUUUAUAUUCUCUUCUACUUCUUUUUACCAUUUUUGUUCUAUGAUAAAAGAAAUCUAAAACAUCACCCACCUAUUGUAGAUCAAAAAAUGGACUCUACAUUGUUAGAUAUGAAAAGGGGUUAAGAUAGUCAGCUCAAAAGCAGCUGACAAGCUUUAUCCAUAUGGCAACGUCAAAUGAUGGUUAACAGUAUGGAAAACUAUGGUGGUUUUGGUAUUAAUUGUUGGCAUAUUCAAGCAUUGUGUAGAUGUAAACUCAAUGAUGAGCAGGAAGAUUAAUAAGGAAGGAGAGAUUUUUUUCAGGUGGAAAGGGCAAAACGUACUCAAUGUUGUGAUGGAUGUGGCGGCUAUGAGCACAAUAGAAAACGGGCAAACAACCAAUAGAGAUGUCUUUAUAUUUAGGUGGAACUUUUUUUUUGGUUGGAUGAUUUGGUUAUGUGUCUACCUUUUUUUGGUUUUUUUUUUUUUUUUUAAUUGUUAAAACAAUUUUGUUGAAUUCAAACUUGCUUCAUUCAAUUGGAACUCAAGCGA